UACAGAGGUCUCAACCGUUGUUCGGAUUCAUUGGGCGUAAAGGGUGCGUAGGCCGCAGGGUAAGUCAGGUGUGAAAUCUCGGGGCUCAACCCCGAAACUGCACUUGAUACUGCCUUGCUAGAGUACUGGAGAGGAGACUGGAAUUUACGGUGUAGCAGUGAAAUGCGUAGAUAUCGUAAGGAAGACCAGUGGCGAAGGCGAGUCUCUGGACAGUUACUGACGCUGAGGCACGAAGGCCAGGGGAG
RNAcentral lists this ribosomal RNA (245 nucleotides) under uncultured bacterium. Its description in RNAcentral is "partial 16S ribosomal RNA". It matches the Rfam family "Bacterial small subunit ribosomal RNA", at positions 524 to 768 of the family's 1533-position model. The record is from RNAcentral.